CAAUCAUCAUCGGAUUUGCAACGGUGUCAGGCACCUCACGUUUUCUGUGUGGCCAAUAGCCAAAGCAUGACACCUCACGUUUUAUUCAACCAAAUUGUAGUAACGUGACACUUUACAUUUCUCAGUAAAGAUAAUGGCUUUGCAAUGAUGGGAAAAGUAAUUAAUUAGAUUACUCCGUUACUGAAAAUUAUACUCUGUUAGUAACGCUGUUAUACUGAAACGCCGUUACUUCCAAUACUGGUCAUUACAGUGUGCAUGCUCCUACCUUCAACCCAACUUGUAUGCUUGUUAAUGUAGCAGGAUGCAGUUAUCUGGCUCAUGCCUCCCUAAGUGACGCUUAAUUUGCUGCAGCUGUGAGUGGUUCUGGGAAGUUAACUUUGAGCCAAUCGCGAGGACUACUCCCCUUUAUAAACCGGGACUUUUCUUUUGACAAAUGAUGCCACCGGUACGCGACUUGUCUUGUUUACCUGCCCAGCGACCUGAUGUCUGCCUGGUUACCGGUCUACGGUAGUGCCGCAGAAUCCCCGGUCUGGCAGCAGCCCUUUUACCAGCUGAGUGUGCGCCCUGUGAUCAGCAAUCAGAGCUCAGGGCCUGUGACGCAACGUUGUUAAUCAUAAGGAAUGCUAUUUAACCGGGGGUGCGGCCGCCAGUUGGGUGCUGAGAACUGCCAGUGGGAGCGGUGCCCCUUGUGGUGGUGGGUCCCUUGGUGUGUGCUGUGGGUGUGUGUUCACCAAGUGUGGUCAUUUCCCUUGUGGUGUGUGUGUGAAUUCGACACUGGUGAUUGGGGUGUCUUAUGAAUGCUCAUUGCUCGUGCCACUAGUCUCCCACUGGUAAGAUUCUGCCCUGUUCUCCUCUUCUCGUGUGUGUGUGUGUGUUUUGGUUUUUGAUUUGGUGUACUGUGUAUUUUGUUUGCUGUGAAGAUUCCCUUCUAUGUUUGCUGUGAUUAUUGUGUGUUUUUAAGUAAAAAUAAAAAUUUCUAUUUUUGUACUGGACCACUGUCUCUGGCUGAUCCAUCCACAAACUUGAGUGCCUGGUUAGAACAAGAUAACAAAUUCUUUGGGUGUAACUCCCAUUGUGGCGUAGUCUGCUACUGUGUAUCCCUUCCUGCCACAUUAACUUGAAUUUACAAAUUGAAUUUAUAAUCAAUUCUAGGUUGGUCCUACAAUUGUUGAACCAUCUUUUCACUAGUUAUGCCGACAUUUUUGCAUUUAAUGGUCUAACUUUUUUUACAGUGUAUAAUAUAAUAGUUAUUAUAUCCAAGUUGUCUGUCUGGAACACGGCAUUAGUUUAACGUCAAUAAUCAAUCGUGUAACUACAAUUACGAGCCAUUCUAUAAGGUGACAUUUCAGCACUUAACAAACGGAUAGCGACUCCUAAGUAGCACUUAAAGCACAGCUACAUGCGAUUGCUGUAUGUGCAUUGUUGGGAAAUGCACGUGGAACAAUAAUGAACAAUUGUAAAAUUACUCUUAGAAAAUGCACUUAAGCGCUAAGAUCAGUCAUUAUUGGGAAACCCGGCCCUGUC
This 1524-nucleotide long non-coding RNA is filed under the name Carassius auratus (goldfish). RNAcentral describes it as "lncRNA (ENSCARG00000014306.1)". Lineage: Eukaryota; Metazoa; Chordata; Actinopteri; Cypriniformes; Cyprinidae. The record is from RNAcentral.